RNAcentral lists this ribosomal RNA (186 nucleotides) under uncultured bacterium. RNAcentral describes it as "partial 16S ribosomal RNA". It matches the Rfam family "Bacterial small subunit ribosomal RNA", at positions 1314 to 1500 of the family's 1533-position model. The record is from RNAcentral.
GCCUGCAUGAAGUCGGAAUUGCUAGUAAUCGCGGAUCAGCAUGCCGCGGUGAAUACGUUCCCGGGCCUUGUACACACCGCCCGUCACACCAUGGGAGCCGGUAAUACCCGAAGUCAGUAGUCCAACCACGUGAGGACGCUGCCGAAGGUAGGAUUGGCGACUGGGGUGAAGUCGUAACAAGGUACC